RNAcentral lists this ribosomal RNA (888 nucleotides) under Crenosoma petrowi. Its description in RNAcentral is "partial large subunit ribosomal RNA". Lineage: Eukaryota; Metazoa; Nematoda; Chromadorea; Rhabditida; Crenosomatidae. The record is from RNAcentral.
CCCAGCGCUGAAUCUUUCGAUGUUACAUCGUAAAGAAAUGUAGCGUAUAGGUGUAGUUAUCGGUUUGUUUGGCGUAUCCAAAGUUCCUUUGAUAGGGGCCAUAUUCCAGAGAGGGUGCGAGACCUGUGCGGAUAGCGGAACAUGCCGUAUGAUUAUACCUUGGAGUCGGGUUGCUUGAAAGUGCAGCCUUAAGUGGGUGAUAAACUUCAUCUAAGGCUAAAUACGGACGCGAAUUCGAUAGCAAACAAGUACUGUGAAGGAAAGUUGCAAAGAACUUUGAAGAGAGAGUUCAAGAGAACGUGAAAUCGUUGAAGUGGAACCGGAGAGAGUUGACGUAGUAUGGUGGAUAAGUAUUGCAAGAAUCGCUUCAAAAAAUGUGAACGUGAUCGAACARUAUGUAUGUCACCAAUGACUGCGGUGACCGCAUCGACUACACGCUCUGAACCGUGUUGACAUGUUGCCUACUCUAGUAUAUAGAGUGGUGUCUUGUGUUACGUGGUGAAGUUUGUUGUUAUGUUGAUGUUGAUACGAGGAGCCUCCCUAUACUACCAGUAUUAAUUAUGUGUGUCAGUGUAAAAGUCGACCACCUCUCCGACCCGUCUUGAAACACGGACCGAGGAGUGUAACUUGUACGCGAGUCAAUGGGUGAAAAACCUUAAGGCGAAAUGAAAGUGAAGGCACGGUUAACCGGCUGACAUGGGAAACGUCCGGCGGCCUGUGUUGACGAGACGUUACACCAUGGCCCUGUCUUGUCUGCAUGCAGAUGGGCAGCGGUAGAGCGUACAGGUUGCGACCCGAAAGAUGGUGAACUAUGCCUGAGCAGGACGAAGCCAGAGGAAACUCUGGUGGAAGUCCGUAUCGGUUCUGACGUGCAAAUCGAUCGAUAGA